Molecule: ribosomal RNA, 487 nt
Filed under: uncultured bacterium
Lineage: Bacteria
Description: bacterial SSU rRNA
Rfam family: Bacterial small subunit ribosomal RNA
Source: RNAcentral
GAACGCUGGCGGCGUGCUUAACACAUGCAAGUCGAACGAGAACGGAUUAUAGCUUGCUAUAAUUGUCAGCUAAGUGGCGCACGGGUGAGUAAUGUAUAGAUAACCUGCCCUCUAGAAAGGAAUAACAGUUGGAAACGACUGCUAAUGCCCUAUAUGCCUUUAAUACAUAAGUAUGCAAGGGAAACGCUUUAGUGCUAGAGGAUGGGUCUGUAUGGUAUCAGUUAGUUGGUGAGGUAAUGGCUCACCAAGACAAUGACGCCUAACUGGUUUGAGAGGAUGAUCAGUCACACUGGAACUGAGACACGGUCCAGACUCCUACGGGAGGCAGCAGUAAGGAAUAUUGGACAAUGGGCGCAAGCCUGAUCCAGCCAUCCCGCGUGCAGGAUGACAGCCCUACGGGUUGUAAACUGUCUUUUGUUAGGGAAGAAACCCCUCGAUUUAUCGGGGGCUGACGGUACCUUUCGAAUAAGCACCGGCUAACUCCGUG